GGCCCCGGGAGCGGGCGGAACGGGAGCGGCCCGGCCCUGGCUGAGGAAACAGCCUCCUCCGCCUCCGAGCAGCCCUUGACGAGCGCUGGGACAGGAACAUGGCUCCGUCUGCGGGAGCGUUUGUGGAGGAUGGCAUUUAGCGAGGGCUGGCGUGCCGCUGCUCCCUCAGCCACCCUCAGAGCCCCCUUCGGCAUUUAAUCCCACAUGGGAAGGGGCCCCGGCCUGUGAAACCCGAGCGGCUCAGCCGCGUUUCCACGCAGAUUCCUCCCAUCUCGGCCUGAGCUGGCAAGGGAAGCUCACUGAAUAUUUAAGAAAAAAUUCAGCCAUACUGCUGCCAGCAACCUCUGGGUGAACCAAACCAAAAAAAACCACACUGUGACAGGUGCUGCCCAGGAGGUUUUGAUGGUGAGAUGGCUUCCCAGGACAGCCAGCAGCGAGGACACCCAGCAGCAAUACCGGGUGCAGAGAGGAAUAGCAUCACCUGUAAACAGCUCUCCUGCUGGCCUGGCAAAAGAAGCCUAUCACCAUGUAUCCAACAACUCCCAGCAACCAUCAACAAGUGUAUUCACUCAGCUGAUGGUAUCAAAAUGGGAGGGCUACCAAUCCUAUUCAAAGAUGUUUGGGGGGGACCAAAAAAAAAAUAAAUUCAUCCUCAAAACCACCCUCUCCAACCGAUAAUUUCAUACAAUCUGUUCAGCAAUUUAUAACCUCUUAUAAACUUUAAGAUUUAAAGUUAUUAAAAAGCUACCUUCAAUUA
Molecule: long non-coding RNA, 757 nt
Organism: Parus major (Great Tit)
Lineage: Eukaryota; Metazoa; Chordata; Aves; Passeriformes; Paridae
Exons: 3
Source: RefSeq, a predicted model, not a curated record